This 253-nucleotide ribosomal RNA is filed under the name uncultured bacterium. Its description in RNAcentral is "partial 16S ribosomal RNA". It matches the Rfam family "Bacterial small subunit ribosomal RNA", at positions 524 to 776 of the family's 1533-position model. The record is from RNAcentral.
UACAGAGGGAGCAAGCGUUGUUCGGAAUUACUGGGCGUAAAGGGCGCGUAGGCGGUUCGAUAAGUCCCGUGUGAAAUCCCUCGGCCCAACUGAGGAACUGCACGGGAAACUGACGGGCUUGAGUUCGGGAGAGGGAAGCGGAAUUCCGGGUGUAGCGGUGAAAUGCGUAGAUAUCCGGAGGAACACCGGUGGCGAAGGCGGCUUCCUGGACCGACACUGACGCUGAGGCGCGAAAGCUAGGGGAGCAAACGGG